GCUCGACUCGGGCUUCAACAUGAGCGCGCGCCAAUUUUUGAUGGAUUAUGUCGUUUUGAUGGGUAAGAGCACCUGAUGCUCCUUAGGGGGAUGCGACUCGGAUACACGAGCCUGAAGAUGGG
Caenorhabditis elegans is the source of this 122-nucleotide non-coding RNA. The record is from Ensembl. NCBI's taxonomy places the organism in Eukaryota, Metazoa, Nematoda, Chromadorea, Rhabditida, Rhabditidae.